RNAcentral lists this ribosomal RNA (401 nucleotides) under uncultured bacterium. RNAcentral describes it as "bacterial SSU rRNA". It matches the Rfam family "Bacterial small subunit ribosomal RNA", at positions 356 to 774 of the family's 1533-position model. The record is from RNAcentral.
CGGGAAUUUUGGGCAAUGGGCGAAAGCCUGACCCAGCAACGCCGCGUGAGGGAUGAAGUAUUUCGGUAUGUAAACCUCGAAAGAAUGGGAAGAAUAAAUGACGGUACCAUUUAUAAGCUCCGGCUAACUACGUGCCAGCAGCCGCGGUAAUACGUAGGGAGCAAGCGUUGUUCGGAUUUACUGGGCGUAAAGGGCGCAUAGGCGGCGCGGUAAGUCACUUGUGAAAUCUCUGAGCUUAACUCAGAACGGCCAAGUGAUACUGCUGUGCUAGAGUGCGGAAGAGGCAACCGGAAUUCUUGGUGUAGCGGUGAAAUGCGUAGAUAUCAAGAGGAACACCUGAGGCGAAGGCGGGUUGCUGGGCCGACACUGACGCUGAUGCGCGAAAGCCAGGGGAGCAAACG